AUGGUCCGCAUUGCGCCGCUCCUGCUGGUGGCGCUGCUCUCUCUAGCCGUGCAGCUCGCGCCGUCCGCAGCCUGCCCAUCCUGCCCCAAGCCAAAGCCUCCCCCGCCGCCGCCGCGUAAGGUCAAGCCCUCCGUGCCCCCUUCGCCAACGCCUGCCACUCCGCCGCCGACACCGGCAGUGCCGCCGUCACCUGUCCCACCAUCGCCGACGCCACCAACCCCUGUCACUCCAUCGCCGACGCCACCAUCCCCUGUCACUCCAUCGCCAGCUCCAGUUAAGCCGCCGUCCCCAGUCCCAGCGACACCACCGCCAUCGCCGUCGACGGGCCAGUGCCCCAUCGAUACGCUGAAACUGUUGGGGUGCGUGGACGCGCUCAACGGGCUGGUGCACGCGGUGAUCGGCAGCAGCGCUAGCGACAGCUGCUGCCCGCUGUUAUCCGGCGUGGCUGACCUCGACGCCGCGCUCUGCCUCUGCACCACCAUCAAGCUCAAGGCGCUCAACAUCAACCUCGUGCUGCCCAUCGCCAUCGAUCUGCUGGUCAACCAGUGCGGCAAGACGGUGCCCAAGGACUUCCAGUGCCCUAGUUAA
RNAcentral lists this ribosomal RNA (588 nucleotides) under Triticum aestivum (bread wheat). RNAcentral describes it as "partial small subunit ribosomal RNA". The record is from RNAcentral. Lineage: Eukaryota; Viridiplantae; Streptophyta; Magnoliopsida; Poales; Poaceae.